RNAcentral lists this ribosomal RNA (252 nucleotides) under uncultured bacterium. Its description in RNAcentral is "partial 16S ribosomal RNA". It matches the Rfam family "Bacterial small subunit ribosomal RNA", at positions 524 to 776 of the family's 1533-position model. The record is from RNAcentral.
UACGUAGGUCCCGAGCGUUGUCCGGAUUUAUUGGGCGUAAAGCGAGCGCAGGUGGCUUAUUAAGUCUGGUGUAAAAGGCAGUGGCUCAACCAUUGUAUGCAUUGGAAACUGGUAGACUUGAGUGCAGGAGAGGAGAGUGGAAUUCCAUGUGUAGCAGUGAAAUGCGUAGAUAUAUGGAGGAACACCGGUGGCGAAAGCGGCUCUCUGGCCUGUAACUGACACUGAGGCUCGAAAGCGUGGGGAGCAAACAGG